UACGGAGGGUGCAAGCGUUGUCCGGAUUUAUUGGGUUUAAAGGGUGCGUAGGCGGGGGAUUAAGUCAGAGGUGAAAGACUGCAGCUCAACUGUAGCAGUGCCUUUGAUACUGAUUUUCUUGAGUACAGAUGAGGCUGGCGGAAUGGGUGGUGUAGCGGUGAAAUGCAUAGAUACCAUCCAGAACACCGAUUGCGAAGGCAGCCGGCUAAACUGUCACUGACGCUGAGGCACGAAAGCGUGGGGAUCGAACAGG
Molecule: ribosomal RNA, 253 nt
Filed under: uncultured bacterium
Lineage: Bacteria
Description: partial 16S ribosomal RNA
Rfam family: Bacterial small subunit ribosomal RNA
Source: RNAcentral